UACGUAGGGGGCUAGCGUUGUCCGGAUUUAUUGGGCGUAAAGAGCGUGUAGGCGGCCUGAUAAGUCGGCUGUGAAAGUCAAGGGCUCAACCCUUGAAUGCCGGCCGAUACUGUCAGGCUAGAGUCCGGAAGAGGCGAGUGGAAUUCCUGGUGUAGCGGUGAAAUGCGCAGAUAUCAGGAGGAACACCUAUGGCGAAGGCAGCUCGCUGGGACGGUACUGACGCUGAGACGCGAAAGCGUGGGGAGCGAACAGG
This 253-nucleotide ribosomal RNA is filed under the name uncultured bacterium. RNAcentral's name for it is "partial 16S ribosomal RNA". It matches the Rfam family "Bacterial small subunit ribosomal RNA", at positions 524 to 776 of the family's 1533-position model. The record is from RNAcentral.